GUGUAACCUUCCGGUCGUAGGACUGCUGUGCAACCGCAGGCUGAUUUAAUGGAGAGACAGUUAUUGUCGAGAAUGAAUUACAACAGUCUGUUUUCGACAACACACCGUGAAUGUAGCGGAUUAAAAUAGCGUGGAGAGGGGGGCAGGAUUGUUCUGAAAUUACAUUUGCAUAACCCGCCCCUGCAUAACGAGCUGUCCGGUUCAGUCUGCGUGGUCCUCAGUGCCGCUACUCGAAACAGACAACCAGGGAGGAAAUAUACCGGCAGGAAGGACUGUCACCGUCUCUAAAACUAUCAACAUGAUCAUUAUAAUCGAAGAUAAGGAGGCCUUCUACAAGGCCCUGGAGGAGGCAGGAGAUAAACUGGUGGUGGUGGACUUCACAGCCACGUGGUGCGGCCCCUGUCAGAGCAUCGCCCCUUUCUUCAAGGGUCUGUCUGAGAAUUAUCAGAGUGUGGUCUUCCUGAAGGUUGACGUGGACCCGCACCGGUGAGCAACAGA
Oncorhynchus keta (chum salmon) is the source of this 498-nucleotide long non-coding RNA. RefSeq lists it as uncharacterized. The record is from RefSeq and is a predicted model, not a curated record. Lineage: Eukaryota; Metazoa; Chordata; Actinopteri; Salmoniformes; Salmonidae. The transcript has 3 exons.